This 419-nucleotide ribosomal RNA is filed under the name Aoraki denticulata. Its description in RNAcentral is "partial 16S ribosomal RNA". The stretch from base 280 to 419 matches the Rfam family "Bacterial large subunit ribosomal RNA", at positions 2473 to 2612 of the family's 2925-position model. The record is from RNAcentral. Lineage: Eukaryota; Metazoa; Arthropoda; Arachnida; Opiliones; Pettalidae.
UAAAUUGUUCAUUAAUUGUGGACUGGAAUGAAAGAAAAAAUGGUUUAAGACUGUCUUAAAAUUAUCGAUUGAAUUUUAAUUUUUUGUAAAAAUGCAAAAAUUCUAUUUAGGGACAAGAAGACCCUAUAAAGCUUAUUUGAAUUUUAAUAUAACUAAAUAUAUUAAUUUAAUUUGGUUGGGGCAAUAAUUUAUAUUUAAUUAAUAUAAAUAUUUUAUACUUAAAAAAAUUUUUAAUAAAAUGAUCCAUUAUUAAUGAUAAUCUGAUUAAGUUACUUUAGGGAUAACAGGAUAAUUUUUAUUAGAAAGUUCUUAUUAAUAAUAAAGUUUAUUACCUCGAUGUUGAAUUAAUUUAAUUUGAUGGUGAAGCAACUAUUUGAAUUUGACUGUUCGUCAAUUAAAUAAUUACAUGAUCUGAGUUC